CCCUUAGAUGUCCUGGGCCGCACGCGCGCUACACUGAUGCAUUCAACGAGCCUAUCCUUGACCGACAGGUCCGGGUAAUCUUUGAAUCUGCAUCGUGACGGGGAUAGAUUAUUGCAAUUAUUAAUCUUCAACGAGGAAUGCCUAGUAGGCGCAAGUCAUCAGCUUGCGUCGAUUACGUCCCUGCCCUUUGUACACACCGCCCGUCGCUCCUACCGAUUGGGUGUGCUGGUGAAAUGUUCGGAUCGGCCGUUUGUCGCGGUUUCCGCGUCAUGUGGCUGGGAAGUUCAUUAAACCCUCCCACCUAGAGGAAGGAGAAGUCGUAACA
This 325-nucleotide ribosomal RNA is filed under the name uncultured eukaryote. Its description in RNAcentral is "partial 18S ribosomal RNA". It matches the Rfam family "Eukaryotic small subunit ribosomal RNA", at positions 1470 to 1796 of the family's 1831-position model. The record is from RNAcentral.